Molecule: small nucleolar RNA, 81 nt
Organism: Falco peregrinus (peregrine falcon)
Lineage: Eukaryota; Metazoa; Chordata; Aves; Falconiformes; Falconidae
Product: small nucleolar RNA SNORD87
Exons: 1
Source: RefSeq, a predicted model, not a curated record
GCUGGCAUAAUGAUGAUGAUCACUCUUUGCCGUUUACCCAACUGAAUUUUAUGAUGAGCAGUUUGCAUCUGAUGUGCCAGC